AUACGUAGGGGGCGAGCGUUGUCCGGAAUGAUUGGGCGUAAAGGGCGCGUAGGCGGCGCGGUAAGUCUGGAGUGAAAGUCCUGCUUUCAAGGUGGGAAUUGCUUUGGAUACUGCCGCGCUUGAGUGCAGGAGAGGUUAUCGGAAUUCCUGGUGUAGCGGUGAAAUGCGUAGAGAUCGGGAGGAACACCAGUGGCGAAGGCGGGUAACUGGACUGCAACUGACGCUGAGGCGCGAAAGUGUGGGGAGCAAACAGGAUUAGAUACCCUGGUAGUCCACACUGUAAACGAUGAAUGCUAGGUGUAAGAGGUAUCGACCCCUUUUGUGCCGGAGUCAACACAAUAAGCAUUCCGCCUGGGGAGUACGGCCGCAAGGUUGAAACUCAAAUGAAUUGGCGGGG
This 397-nucleotide ribosomal RNA is filed under the name uncultured bacterium. Its description in RNAcentral is "partial 16S ribosomal RNA". It matches the Rfam family "Bacterial small subunit ribosomal RNA", at positions 523 to 918 of the family's 1533-position model. The record is from RNAcentral.